ACGUCAAAUCAUCAUGCCCCUUAUGACCUGGGCUACACACGUGCUACAAUGGGCGGUGCAAAGGGUCGCGAACCCGCGAGGGGGAGCCAAUCCCAAAAAGCCGCUCUCAGUUCGGAUUGCAGGCUGCAACUCGCCUGCAUGAAGCCGGAAUCGCUAGUAAUCGCGGAUCAGCAUGCCGCGGUGAAUACGUUCCCGGGCCUU
This 201-nucleotide ribosomal RNA is filed under the name uncultured Anoxybacillus sp. RNAcentral describes it as "partial 16S ribosomal RNA". It matches the Rfam family "Bacterial small subunit ribosomal RNA", at positions 1182 to 1382 of the family's 1533-position model. Lineage: Bacteria; Bacillati; Bacillota; Bacilli; Caryophanales; Anoxybacillaceae. The record is from RNAcentral.